UUCAAGAUUCUAAGAGCAAACGGUGGAUGCCUUGGCAUCUGGAGCCGAAGAAGGACGUAUAAAUCUGCGAUAAGCCUCGGGGAGCUGAUAAUAGAGCUGUGAUCCGAGGAUCUCCGAAUGGGGAAACCCCGCCAGGCCCUUUGGGUGACCUGGUGACUCCCGCCUGAAUAUAUAGGGCGGGUUGAGGGAACGUGGGGAAGUGAAACAUCUCAGUACCCACAGGAAGAGAAAGCAAAAGCGAUUCCGUUAGUAGUGGCGAGCGAAACCGGAAGAGGCCAAACCGAUCAUGUGUGAUAUCCGGUAGGAGUUGCAUGGUCGGGGUUGCGGGACUUUCCGUACAGUUCUACCGAGCUGUGAGGGCAAUGAGCGCGAUAUAGACGAAUGGUCUUGAAAGGCCAGUCAUAGAGGGUGCGAACCCCGUAGUCGAAAUGUCGUCGCCUGUCCGGAGAGUAUCCCAAGUAGCACGGGGCCCGAGAAAUCCCGUGUGAAUCUGUCAGGACCACCUGAUAAGCCUAAAUACUCCCAGAUGACCGAUAGCGGACAAGUACCGUGAGGGA
Molecule: ribosomal RNA, 557 nt
Filed under: Clavibacter michiganensis subsp. insidiosus
Lineage: Bacteria; Bacillati; Actinomycetota; Actinomycetes; Micrococcales; Microbacteriaceae
Description: bacterial LSU rRNA
Rfam family: Bacterial large subunit ribosomal RNA
Source: RNAcentral